Molecule: small nucleolar RNA, 214 nt
Filed under: Nicotiana sylvestris (wood tobacco)
Lineage: Eukaryota; Viridiplantae; Streptophyta; Magnoliopsida; Solanales; Solanaceae
Also listed under: 1 other name
Description: Plant small nucleolar RNA U3
Rfam family: Plant small nucleolar RNA U3
About the family: Small nucleolar RNAs (snoRNAs) are involved in the processing and modification of rRNA in the nucleolus. There are two main classes of snoRNAs: the box C/D class, and the box H/ACA class.
Source: Rfam by way of RNAcentral
ACGACCUUACUUGAACAGGAUCUGUUCUAUAGGCUCGUACCACUGUAUCCUUGAGUUCUAAGGAGACAGAAAACCAAGUCUGGUGGAUGAAUUAAAGCCAUUAGACCAGAGCGUGAUUAACAGCUCCCAUAGCCCUCGGGUCAUGACGCUGUAGAUGAUCGUUCUCAGCCUCAUCCGUGGGUGCUGCGAUGGUCUAAUGGCUAUCUGACAGACU